This is a small nucleolar RNA of Hibiscus syriacus, 90 nucleotides long. Lineage: Eukaryota; Viridiplantae; Streptophyta; Magnoliopsida; Malvales; Malvaceae. The record is from RefSeq and is a predicted model, not a curated record.
UGAUGGCGCGAUGAUGAUAGAUGUUUAAUCCCAGCUCAUUAUGAGACCUUAUCAAGGUCUGGGAUAGAUCAAAACCUAUCUGAGCAAUUC